This 222-nucleotide ribosomal RNA is filed under the name uncultured bacterium. Its description in RNAcentral is "partial 16S ribosomal RNA". It matches the Rfam family "Bacterial small subunit ribosomal RNA", at positions 328 to 539 of the family's 1533-position model. The record is from RNAcentral.
ACGCUCGACACCUACGGGAGCAGCAGUAGGGAAUCUUCCACAAUGGACGCAAGUCUGAUGGAGCAACGCCGCGUGAGUGAAGAAGGUCUUCGGAUCGUAAAACUCUGUUGUUAGAGAAGAACACGAGUGAGAGUAACUGUUCAUUCGAUGACGGUAUCUAACCAGCAAGUCACGGCUAACUACGUGGCAGCAGCCGCGGUAAUCUGAGCGGGCUGGCAAGGC